CGCCGUAAACGGUGGGCGCUAGUUGUGCGAACCUUCCACGGUUUGUGCGACGCAGCUAACGCAUUAAGCGCCCCGCCUGGGGAGUACGAUCGCAAGAUUAAAACUCAAAGGAAUUGACGGGGCCCCGCACAAGCAGCGGAGCAUGCGGCUUAAUUCGACGCAACGCGAAGAACCUUACCAAGGCUUGACAUAUACAGGAAUACGGCAGAGAUGUCGUAGCCGCAAGGUCUGUAUACAGGUGGUGCAUGGUUGUCGUCAGCUCGUGUCGUGAGAUGUUGGGUUAAGUCCCGCAACGAGCGCAACCCUCGUUCUGUGUUGCCAGCAUUUAGUUGGGGACUCACAGGAGACUGCCGGGGUUAACUCGGAGGAAGGUGGGGAUGACGUCAAAUCAUCAUGCCCCUUAUGUCUUGGGCUGCACGCAUGCUACAAUGGCUGGUACAAACGGCUGCAAUACCGCAAGGUGGAGCGAAUCCGAGAAAGCCAGUCUCAGUUCGGAUUGGGGUCUGCAACUCGACCCCAUGAAGUCGGAGUUGCUAGUAAUCGUAGAUCAGCAACGCUACGGUGAAUACGUUCCCGGGGCUUGUACACACCGCCCGUCACAUCACGA
RNAcentral lists this ribosomal RNA (607 nucleotides) under uncultured Actinomycetes bacterium. Its description in RNAcentral is "bacterial SSU rRNA". It matches the Rfam family "Bacterial small subunit ribosomal RNA", at positions 798 to 1407 of the family's 1533-position model. Lineage: Bacteria; Bacillati; Actinomycetota; Actinomycetes. The record is from RNAcentral.